GCCCGGUCGGCAGCACCGGCGGGAAAGUGUCAGUCGGAGCCAUGGGUGGGGGCGUGGGGACCUCGAGUUCCGGGGGUGGCCCCAGCAGCAGCGGCGGAGGAGGCAGCGGCGUCCCCAGUGCGGGCACCAGCUUCCCGCCGCCCGGAGUGAAGCUGGGCCGUGACAGCGGGAAGGUGACCACAGUGGUAGCCACUCUAGGCCAAGGCCCGGAGCGCUCCCAGGAGGUGGCUUACACAGACAUCAAAGUGAUUGGCAAUGGCUCAUUUGGGGUUGUGUACCAGGCACGGCUGGCAGAUACCAGGGAACUGGUAGCCAUCAAGAAGGUUCUCCAGGACAAGAGGUUCAAGAACCGAGAGCUGCAGAUUAUGCGGAAGCUGGACCACUGCAAUAUCGUGAGGCUGAGAUACUUUUUCUACUCCAGUGGGGAGAAGAAAGACGAGCUUUACCUAAAUCUGGUGCUGGAGUACGUGCCCGAGACAGUGUACCGGGUGGCCCGUCAUUUCACCAAGGCCAAGUUGACCAUCCCUAUCAUCUAUGUCAAGGUAUACAUGUACCAGCUCUUCCGGAGCUUGGCCUACAUCCACUCCCAGGGCGUGUGUCACCGUGACAUCAAACCCCAGAAUCUGCUGGUGGACCCUGACACGGCUGUCCUCAAGCUCUGUGAUUUUGGCAGUGCAAAGCAGCUGGUCCGGGGGGAGCCCAAUGUCUCCUACAUCUGUUCUCGCUACUAUCGUGCCCCCGAGCUGAUCUUUGGAGCCACUGAUUAUACCUCAUCUAUUGAUGUGUGGUCAGCUGGCUGCGUACUGGCCGAGCUCCUCCUGGGCCAGCCCAUCUUCCCUGGGGACAGUGGGGUAGACCAGCUGGUGGAAAUCAUCAAGGUGCUGGGAACACCAACCCGGGAGCAGAUCCGAGAGAUGAACCCCAACUACACGGAGUUCAAGUUCCCCCAGAUUAAAGCUCACCCUUGGACAAAGGUGUUCAAAUCUCGAACGCCACCCGAGGCCAUAGCGCUCUGCUCUAGCCUGCUGGAGUACACACCGUCCUCGAGGCUCUCCCCAUUGGAAGCCUGUGCCCACAGCUUCUUUGAUGAACUGCGAUGUCACGGAAUCCAGCUCCCUAACAACCGCUCGCUUCCCCCCCUCUUCAAUUUCAGUCCUGGUGAACUCUCCAUCCAACCAUCUCUCAACGCCAUUCUCAUCCCUCCUCACUUGAGGUCCCCGGCGGGCACUGCCACCCUCACCCCAACCUCACAAGGUUUAAGUGAGGCUCAGACCGGCUCAGAAUGGCAGUCAGCCGAAGCCACAGCUCCCCUCACUAACUCCUCCUGAGGGCCCUGCCAACUACCCUUCCAUCUGGGAGCCCCAGGUGGGGCUGGGAAAGGGGGGCCAUAGCUCCUGCCCUGGCUGGGCCCCUAGACUAGAGGGCAGAGAAAACGUCGAUUCGCACCGUCCAACCUGGCUCCUCCCCCUCCUACAGCUGUGUUCCCCUCCUGUCCUCUGCCCUAAGGUCUCCUCCCUCCUCUCCCCACCCUGGAGGGCUGGGUUAGGGAUGGUGGGGGGAUCCUGAUGUCUUAGUUUCCACAGUAAGGUUUGCCUGUGUACAGACCUCCGUUCAAUAAAUUAUUGGCAUGAAACCUG
Molecule: RNA transcript, 1637 nt
Organism: Myotis lucifugus (little brown bat)
Lineage: Eukaryota; Metazoa; Chordata; Mammalia; Chiroptera; Vespertilionidae
Gene: GSK3A
Gene name: glycogen synthase kinase 3 alpha
Exons: 12
Source: RefSeq, a predicted model, not a curated record